AUUGAACGCUGGCGGCAGGCCUAACACAUGCAAGUCGAGCGGAUGAAGGGAGCUUGCUCCUGGAUUCAGCGGCGGACGGGUGAGUAAUGCCUAGGAAUCUGCCUGGUAGUGGGGGAUAACGUCCGGAAACGGGCGCUAGUACCGCAUCCGACCUGAGGGAGAAAGUGGGGGAUCUUCGGACGUCACACUAUCAUGUUAGCCUAGGUCCGAUUAGCUAGUUGGUUGGGUAAAGGCCUACCAAGGCGACGAGGCGUAACUGGUCUGAGAGGAUGAUCAGUCACACUGGCACAGAGACAGGGCACAGACUCCGACACGGAGACACAGUGGGGAAUCCUGCACAAUGCACGAAUGCCUGAUAUAGCACUGCCGGCUGUAUGAUGAUGCUCCUAUGCUUCUAAAGUACUUUAAGUCGGGAGGUAGGACAGUAAGUUUAUACCUUGCUGUUUUGACAUUACCAACAGAAUAAGCUCCGGCUAACUUCGUG
Molecule: ribosomal RNA, 484 nt
Filed under: uncultured bacterium
Lineage: Bacteria
Description: partial 16S ribosomal RNA
Rfam family: Bacterial small subunit ribosomal RNA
Source: RNAcentral